GGUUCUACUGAGUAUAUAGAGCACUAGAUAGGGUCUACUGAGCAUAUAGUGCACUAGAUAGGGUCUACUGAGCAUAUAGUUCAGUAGAUAGGGUCUACUGAGCAUAUAGAGCACUAGAUAGGGUCUACUGAGCAUAUAGAGCACUAGAUAGGGUCUACUGAGCAUAUAGUGCACUAGAUCGGGUCUACUGAGCAUAUAGAGCACUAGAUAGGGUCUACUGAGUGUAUAGUGCACUAGAUAGGGUAUUUGGGCAUAUAGUGCACUAGAUCGGGUCUACUGAGUAUAUAGUGCACUAGAUCGGGUAUUUGGGCAUAUAGUGCACUAGUUAGGGUCUACUGAGCAUAUAGAGCACUAGAUAGGGUAUUUGGGCAUAUAGUGCACUAGAUAGGGUAUUUGGGCAUAUAGUGCACUAGAUAGGGUAUUUGGGCAUAUAGUGCACUAGUUAGGGUCUACUGAGCAUAUAGAGCACUAGUUAGGGUAUUUGGGCAUAUAGUGCACUAGUUAGGGUCUACUGAGCAUAUAGUGCACUAGUUAGGGUCUACUGAGUAUAUAGAGCACUAGAUAGGGUAUUUGGGCAUAUAGUGCACUAGAUCGGGUAUUUGGGCAUAUAGUGCACUAGUUAGGGUCUACUGAGCAUAUAGUGCACUAGAUAGGGUAUUUGGGCAUAUAGUGCACUAGUUAGGGUCUACUGAGCAUAUAGAGCACUAGAUAGGGUAUUUGGGCAUAUAGUGCACUAGAUAGGGUAUUUGGGCAUAUAGUGCACUAGAUAGGGUAUUUGGGCAUAUAGUGCACUAUUUAGGGUCUACUGAGCAUAUAGUGCACUAGAUAGGGUAUUUGGGCAUAUAGUGCACUAGUUAGGGUCUACUGAGCAUAUAGUGCACUAGAUCGGGUAUUUGGGCAUAUAGUGCACUAGUUAGGGUCUACUGAGCAUAUAGUGCACUAGUUAGGGUCUGUUAUAAUCCUCAGGUUAAUAGCUCAUUUUAUCUGAGCUCAGAAUUUGGAGUGAAAGUGCUUUACAUAGGAAAGGCACAGUAAAAUAUUAGUGAUGCAGUAAUCUAUAAUCACUAAAGGCCUUACCUGUGUAUCGGCUGAUCAGGUGUGUGUUGAACCUGUAUAUAAAAUCGACCCGAGUGUGUUGUGGUGUAAUUGUUCUCCG
This is a long non-coding RNA of Ictalurus punctatus (channel catfish), 1156 nucleotides long. Lineage: Eukaryota; Metazoa; Chordata; Actinopteri; Siluriformes; Ictaluridae. The record is from Ensembl.